AAAUUGAAGAGUUUGAUCAUGGCUCAGAUUGAACGCUGGCGGCAGGCCUAACACAUGCAAGUCGAACGGUAACAGGAAACAGCUUGCUGUUUCGCUGACGAGUGGCGGACGGGUGAGUAAUGUCUGGGAAACUGCCCGAUGGAGGGGGAUAACUACUGGAAACGGUAG
This 168-nucleotide ribosomal RNA is filed under the name Escherichia coli. RNAcentral describes it as "partial 16S ribosomal RNA". It matches the Rfam family "Bacterial small subunit ribosomal RNA", at positions 1 to 162 of the family's 1533-position model. The record is from RNAcentral. Lineage: Bacteria; Pseudomonadati; Pseudomonadota; Gammaproteobacteria; Enterobacterales; Enterobacteriaceae.